RNAcentral lists this microRNA (22 nucleotides) under Tribolium castaneum (red flour beetle). RNAcentral's name for it is "Tca-Mir-2-P1-v1_5p* (star (passenger))". Lineage: Eukaryota; Metazoa; Arthropoda; Insecta; Coleoptera; Tenebrionidae. The record is from RNAcentral.
CUUAUCAGAGUUGGCGGUUUUA